RNAcentral lists this transfer RNA (67 nucleotides) under Clibanarius infraspinatus. RNAcentral describes it as "tRNA-Leu". Lineage: Eukaryota; Metazoa; Arthropoda; Malacostraca; Decapoda; Diogenidae. The record is from RNAcentral.
UCUAAAAUGGCAGAUAAAUGCGUAAGAUUUAAGCUCUUAUAAUGGAACACAUGGGUUUCUUUUAGAA